This 406-nucleotide ribosomal RNA is filed under the name uncultured bacterium. Its description in RNAcentral is "partial 16S ribosomal RNA". It matches the Rfam family "Bacterial small subunit ribosomal RNA", at positions 29 to 526 of the family's 1533-position model. The record is from RNAcentral.
AUUGAACGCUGGCGGCAGGCCUAACACAUGCAAGUCGAACGAGGGGCGGACGGGUGAGUAAUGUCGGGGAAACUGCCUGAUGGAGGGGGGUAACUACUGGAAACGGUAGCUAAUACAGAAAACAAUCGGAUGGGCCCAGAUGGGAUUAGCUAGUGGGGGGGGUAAAGGCACCCCUAGGGGACGAUCCCUAGCUGGUCUGAGAGGAUGACCAGCCACACUGGAACUGAGACACGGUCCAGACUCCUACGGGAGGCAGCAGUGGGGAAUAUUGCACAAUGGGCGCAAGCCUGAUGCAGCCAUGCCGCGUGUAUGAAGAAGGCCUUCGGGUUGUAAAGUACUUUCAGCGGGGAGGCGUUACCCGCAGAAGAAGCACCGGCUAACUCCGUGCCAGCAGCCGCGGUAAUUC